ACUUAAAAUACGCUAUGGGAACAAUAUCAUUUUUUGUCAUUUAGCACUUGAAGCCAUUAACCUGUUUUGCCGUGUUCACACACUUUAGAUGCAUUAAUUUUACUUCGGUGCUUCGUAUAAACAGAGGUAAUUCUUUAAACUAUCGAAAACUUUAUGUUCUAUAACAUUGCUUCGUCAACCAAUUUAUGUAUCUUAAUUUUUCUCUGUUUUUUUUUAAGGCGUAUUUCUGCAGUUGCCUAAUUGUGUACGUUUUUCAAACAAAGACGUGAAGAAAAUAAAAGAGCAAAAGGUGUAUUUCUUCAGUCGAUUUAUUGUGUCCGUUUUUCAAUUAGUAAAAGAACAAAGAGCCAUACUAUAUAUCCUUGGAUCUAUUCAAUGAUGAGUUUAAUGAUAUGGUGGUUAUUGUGGCUGUUAUUUGGUCAAAGAUUCACAAUGAAAAUGGGUUGGAAUGAAGAGCUUGAGUUUUGUGAACAAGAAUGGAAGAAAUUUGUGGCGGACAAAAUUGAAAUCGAUUCGAAAUGCGACAAUGCUCGUACACGUUGUUGUGUUGAGGAGAAGAAAUAUCUUCUGGAGCGAUUUAAAAUGUUUAGUGAAAUAUGUCCACUAGAAGGGACAUGUGGAUGCAGCCCGGUUAUUUUGAACUAU
Xenia sp. Carnegie-2017 is the source of this 645-nucleotide long non-coding RNA. RefSeq lists it as uncharacterized. The record is from RefSeq and is a predicted model, not a curated record. Lineage: Eukaryota; Metazoa; Cnidaria; Anthozoa; Malacalcyonacea; Xeniidae. The transcript is spliced from 4 exons.